AAAUCUUCGUUAAAUGAAUAACAAAAAAAUAUCCUUAUGCGUGCUUUCAUUUCUUACAAGGAGCAGUGCUGUUGUUCCAAUUGAUAAAAUUGGGUUUCUACUUUGUAUUAUUAUUUUUCUGUUCAUAUUGCAACUGUUUUUGUAUCAUGUUUCUAUUUGUCUUUAACUUUGAAUCCCAUUAAAUCUGUUACGAUUUCUGUACAAUACCAGACCAGUGUUUAUUUUUGUCAUAUGAAAGAAAUAGUUUUGUAGAACGAUCCUUUGUUUUCCUUUGCUU
Molecule: long non-coding RNA, 277 nt
Filed under: Mytilus galloprovincialis (Mediterranean mussel)
Lineage: Eukaryota; Metazoa; Mollusca; Bivalvia; Mytilida; Mytilidae
Source: RNAcentral